This 253-nucleotide ribosomal RNA is filed under the name uncultured bacterium. RNAcentral describes it as "partial 16S ribosomal RNA". It matches the Rfam family "Bacterial small subunit ribosomal RNA", at positions 524 to 776 of the family's 1533-position model. The record is from RNAcentral.
UACGAAAGGUGCAAGCGUUACUCGGAAUCACUGGGCGUAAAGCGCACGUAGGCGGACUUACAGGUCAAUUGGGAAAUACCUGGGCUCAACCCAGGAACUGCAGUUGAAACCGUUUGUCUUGAAUACCUGAGAGGGUGGGGGAAUACCUGGUGGAGAAGUGAAAUUCGUAGAGAUCAGGUGGAACACCGGAGGCGAAGGCGCCUGCCUGGCAGUGUAUUGACGCUGAGGUGCGAAAGUGCGGGGAGCAAACAGG